GGCCGGGUAGCUCAGCUGGUAGAGCAGGGGACUGAAAAUCCCCGUGUCGGCGGUUCGAUCCCGUCCCCGGCCACCA
RNAcentral lists this transfer RNA (76 nucleotides) under Deltaproteobacteria bacterium. RNAcentral describes it as "tRNA-Phe". It matches the Rfam family "tRNA". Rfam says of the family: Transfer RNA (tRNA) molecules are approximately 80 nucleotides in length. Their secondary structure includes four short double-helical elements and three loops (D, anti-codon, and T loops). The record is from RNAcentral. Lineage: Bacteria; Pseudomonadati; Myxococcota; Myxococcia.